RNAcentral lists this long non-coding RNA (586 nucleotides) under Capsicum annuum. RNAcentral describes it as "long non-coding RNA (CANN_LNC016383)". Lineage: Eukaryota; Viridiplantae; Streptophyta; Magnoliopsida; Solanales; Solanaceae. The record is from RNAcentral.
GGGAGAACCCAUUUAGCUUAUAAUCCCCUUAGCAUUUCUCUAUUUUUCCAAUGUGGGACAAUUGGUUCAUAACAAUCGCCUCCACUUGAGAAUCAACGACCUCGUUGGUCACGGCUGAGCCCAGUUGGUCAUAGUUGGCACCCCUCUUAGGUCCAGGCCACCACUUCUGGUGCACAAGCCACCACUUUGAGUCGUGGCUCCACGCGUGGAUCGAUUUUCGUUGGUCAUGGGCUAUGCCCAGUUGGUCACGACUAGCACCCCUCUUGGGUCCAGGCCACCACUACUGGCAUACAAGCCACCACUACAAGCACAUAGGCCACCAUUACAAGUCACAGCCCAACACACGGCUUUCCACACGUGGAUCGAUCCUCGUUGGUCACGGCUAAGCCCAGUUGGUCAUGGCUGGCAUCUCCACACGUGGAUCGAUCCUUGUUGGUCACGACUAUGCCCAGUUGUUCAUGGCUAGCAUCCCUCUUGGGUCAAGGACACCACUCCUAGCGCGCAGACCACCACUCUAAGUGACGGCCCUACUCGUGGGACUCUCAAUGAAAGCACAAAUGUUAUAAACCAAAUGGGAGAGCCCAAC